RNAcentral lists this ribosomal RNA (466 nucleotides) under uncultured bacterium. RNAcentral's name for it is "partial 16S ribosomal RNA". It matches the Rfam family "Bacterial small subunit ribosomal RNA", at positions 28 to 507 of the family's 1533-position model. The record is from RNAcentral.
GAUGAACGCUGGCGGCGUGCUUAACACAUGCAAGUCGAACGAUGAAGCCCAGCUUGCUGGGUGGAUUAGUGGCGAACGGGUGAGUAACACGUGAGUAACCUGCCCUUAACUCUGGGAUAAGCCUGGGAAACUGGGUCUAAUACCGGAUAGGAGCGUCCACCGCAUGGUGGGUGUUGGAAAGAUUUAUCGGUUUUGGAUGGACUCGCGGCCUAUCAGCUUGUUGGUGAGGUAAUGGCUCACCAAGGCGACGACGGGUAGCCGGCCUGAGAGGGUGACCGGCCACACUGGGACUGAGACACGGCCCAGACUCCUACGGGAGGCAGCAGUGGGGAAUAUUGCACAAUGGGCGCAAGCCUGACGCAGCGACGCCGCGUGAGGGAUGACGGCCUUCGGGUUGUAAACUCCUUUCGUCAGGGACGAAGCGAAAGUGACGGUACCUGGAUAAGAAGCACCGGCUAACUACGUG